UACAGAGGGGGCCAGCGUUAUUCGGAAUUAUUGGGCGUAAAGGGCGCGUAGGCUGCCACUCGUGUCUUCCGUGAAAUCCCUCGGCUCAACCGAGGACGUGCGGAAGAAACUGCGAGACUCGAGUCCAGAAGAGGGGGGCGGAAUUCCCAGUGUAGCGGUGAAAUGCGUAGAUAUUGGGAGGAACACCGGUGGCGAAGGCGGCCCCCUGGGCUGGUACUGACGCUGAUGCGCGAAAGCGUGGGUAGCAAACGGG
This 253-nucleotide ribosomal RNA is filed under the name uncultured bacterium. Its description in RNAcentral is "partial 16S ribosomal RNA". It matches the Rfam family "Bacterial small subunit ribosomal RNA", at positions 524 to 776 of the family's 1533-position model. The record is from RNAcentral.